GUGGGGAAUAUUGCACAAUGGGCGAAAGCCUGAUGCAGCGACGCCGCGUGGGGGAUGAAGGCCUUCGGGUUGUAAACUCCUUUCGCUAGGGACGAAGAGAAAUUGACGGUACCUGGAGAAGAAGCACCGGCUAACUACGUGCCAGCAGCCGCGGUAAUACGUAGGGUGCGAGCGUUGUCCGGAAUUACUGGGCGUAAAGAGCUCGUAGGUGGUUUGUCGCGUCGUCUGUGAAAUCCCGGGGCUUAACUCCGGGCGUGCAGGCGAUACGGGCAUAACUUGAGUGCUGUAGGGGAGACUGGAAUUCCUGGUGUAGCGGUGAAAUGCGCAGAUAUCAGGAGGAACACCAAUGGCGAAGGCAGGUCUCUGGGCAGUAACUGACGCUGAGGAGCGAAAGCAUGGGUAGCGAACAGGAUUAGAAACCCCUGUAGUCC
This 431-nucleotide ribosomal RNA is filed under the name uncultured bacterium. Its description in RNAcentral is "partial 16S ribosomal RNA". It matches the Rfam family "Bacterial small subunit ribosomal RNA", at positions 354 to 796 of the family's 1533-position model. The record is from RNAcentral.